CCGUCAUAACAGCCUUUGGAU
This 21-nucleotide microRNA is filed under the name Gadus morhua (Atlantic cod). RNAcentral describes it as "gmo-miR-11187-5p". The record is from miRBase by way of RNAcentral. Lineage: Eukaryota; Metazoa; Chordata; Actinopteri; Gadiformes; Gadidae.